GUAUAUUAGCGCCAUUUAUUGCUGCUUGGACCACAGCAUCUUCGGAAUUUGUAGACAUCCUGGCAGCUUACAAUUAGUUCGAGGUGAGACACUGAAUUUGAGCAGAAACCAUAAGGAUACUCAAAGGACCUGUGACUCUCAGGAAAUGCAUCAAAUGAGAAGGACAGAUGAAAC
Oreochromis aureus is the source of this 174-nucleotide long non-coding RNA. RefSeq lists it as uncharacterized. The transcript has 3 exons. NCBI's taxonomy places the organism in Eukaryota, Metazoa, Chordata, Actinopteri, Cichliformes, Cichlidae. The record is from RefSeq and is a predicted model, not a curated record.